Molecule: long non-coding RNA, 154 nt
Organism: Etheostoma cragini (Arkansas darter)
Lineage: Eukaryota; Metazoa; Chordata; Actinopteri; Perciformes; Percidae
Exons: 2
Source: RefSeq, a predicted model, not a curated record
AAUGAUCUGACAAGAGACAAAGCGAACGCCAGGGUUAAAUACAAGAGGUAACGAGCAAACACGGGACAGGUGAUACAGCAGGUGGAACACAUCAGGGCGGGGCAGGACAGUCAGACAGGAGGGAAACCACAAGACAAAGUAAAACGAGACAAGA